Danio aesculapii is the source of this 397-nucleotide long non-coding RNA. RefSeq lists it as uncharacterized. The transcript is spliced from 4 exons. NCBI's taxonomy places the organism in Eukaryota, Metazoa, Chordata, Actinopteri, Cypriniformes, Danionidae. The record is from RefSeq and is a predicted model, not a curated record.
AGAAGUCACUUACAACCCUCUCAUCCUGUGAUCAUCUGUAGAAGCAUUGUCUGAGUCUGGAGGUGAGAGCGCAGGUCCUCAUGCGUCUCCUGAGGAAAGGAAAGAGAAGGUUCCCAGUCCCCAUCUCAGUCAGCUGGUGAUCCUGACUGCCACUGAAACACUCUAUGGCCUGGCUGAGAGAGUCGUCGCCACUGAAUCACUAGUUUUUCUAGCGGAGCAGUUUGAGUUUCUUCAGCCUCAUCUGGACACCAUGAUGCCUUCAGCCAAGAAGCCAUUCCUGCAGCAGUUCUACUCACAGACUGUAUCAACGGCCAGCGAGCUCCGCAAGCCCAUUUACUGGAUCGUGGCGGCCAAAGCCAUAGAUUAUGAACAGAUGCUGCUGCUGAUGGCUGGAGUG